Molecule: ribosomal RNA, 473 nt
Filed under: uncultured bacterium
Lineage: Bacteria
Description: bacterial SSU rRNA
Rfam family: Bacterial small subunit ribosomal RNA
Source: RNAcentral
ACUCCUACGGGAGGCAUCAGUAGGGAAUCUUCCACAAUGGGCGCAAGCCUGAUGGAGCAACACCGCGUGAGUGAAGAAGGGUUUCGGCUCGUAAAGCUCUGUUGUUAAAGAAGAACACGUAUGAGAGUAACUGUUCAUACGUUGACGGUAUUUAACCAGAAAGUCACGGCUAACUACGUGCCAGCAGCCGCGGUAAUACGUAGGUGGCAAGCGUUAUCCGGAUUUAUUGGGCGUAAAGAGAGUGCAGGCGGUUUUCUAAGUCUGAUGUGAAAGCCUUCGGCUUAACCGGAGAAGUGCAUCGGAAACUGGAUAACUUGAGUGCAGAAGAGGGUAGUGGAACUCCAUGUGUAGCGGUGGAAUGCGUAGAUAUAUGGAAGAACACCAGUGGCGAAGGCGGCUACCUGGUCUGCAACUGACGCUGAGACUCGAAAGCAUGGGUAGCGAACAGGAUUAGAUACCCUGGUAGGAUAGCG